RNAcentral lists this small RNA (916 nucleotides) under Pan troglodytes (chimpanzee). RNAcentral's name for it is "processed transcript". Lineage: Eukaryota; Metazoa; Chordata; Mammalia; Primates; Hominidae. The record is from RNAcentral.
CACUGUGCGCAGGCGCGGAACUGACCGGACGGAGCGGGCGGCUGUGGCCUCGCCAGCUGGGUGGAGUGCAAUGGCACGAUCUCAGCUCACCACAACCUCCGUCCCCGGGUUCAAGCGAUUCUCCUGCCUCAGCCUCCUGAGUAGCUCGGAUUACAGGGCCCUGGACACAGGAUGAUCCCGGAUGGUGAGGCGGAGUUGAGGACAUUGUUGUAUGAGCGGAGAGUUGGCUAAGCUGCUAGAAUCCCUUCCUCUGAAACGAAGCCGUGCAGGGAUGGGGUGGGGAAGGUUGUCAACCAGCCAGCAUGCUCCUGGGCCUGUGGAAGGGGAGAGUGUCCACGGUUCACUUGGGGUCCCAGGGACCUUGCCAGCCCUGUACUGGGCUUUGGCAUGAAGGGGUGGAGAAGCUCUUCCAAGCUCUGACUGGUGUCUUGGUUACUAAAUCCUGAGGGUGGCAUGAUGAGAACACCAGUGGGGAGCCUUUGGCUGUGGGGUUCUGUGAGUGAGGCAGCAUGAAGCAGAAGUUGCCUCUAGAUGUCGCCAUCUGACCACGCUGGCAUCAGCUGAGUGCCAUUGGAGGAAAAUGUUCAUGAGAUGCGGCCUGAGGCCUGUCCCCAGCCCAAGCUGGGUCUCCCGGCGACUGCAGCCUGGAGCACCUUCGGAAGGCCUCCUGGGACUAGGGAUGUCUUUGGGGCUGGGAACAAGUGUGGGUGGAGGAAGGGCUGAUCCUGUGGUCACCCAGCCCUGUCUUGUAGGGAAGGAACUGCUGGGGUCCCAGGAGAAGCCAGAGCCAGGCAGUGGGCUCCAGAUGGUGGGGGAGUGGCUGCCACCUUGACCAUCUUCCCCAGCAUGGCUGUUCUCCUCUGUGGACCGCCCCAUGCCUCUGACCCCCAUCCUCCCUACCCCAUUCCCUACAGCC